Molecule: ribosomal RNA, 494 nt
Filed under: uncultured bacterium
Lineage: Bacteria
Description: partial 16S ribosomal RNA
Rfam family: Bacterial small subunit ribosomal RNA
Source: RNAcentral
GACGAACGCUGGCGGCGUGCUUAACACAUGCAAGUCGAACGGUGAAGCGCCUUCCUUUUUGGUGGGUGUGGAUGAGUGGCGAACGGGUGAGUAACACGUGAGUAACCUGCUCCCUUCUUCUGGAUAACCGCAUGAAAGUGUGGCUAAUACGGGAUAUUCUGGGUCUGUCGCAUGAUGGGUCUGGGAAAGAUAUUGUUUCGGUGGGGGAUGGGCUCGCGGCCUAUCAGCUUGUUGGUGGGGUGAUGGCCUACCAAGGCGGUGACGGGUAGCCGGCCUGAGAGGGUGGACGGUCACACUGGGACUGAGACACGGACCAGACUCCUACGGGAGGCAGCAGUGGGGAAUAUUGCACAAUGGGCGCAAGCCUGAUGCAGCGACGCCGCGUGAGGGAUGGAGGCCUUCGGGUUGUGAACCUCUUUCGCCAGUGAAGCAGGCCUGCCUCGUUUGUGGGUGGGUUGACGGUAGCUGGAUAAGAAGCGCCGGCUAACUACGUG